RNAcentral lists this long non-coding RNA (222 nucleotides) under Carica papaya (papaya). RNAcentral describes it as "long non-coding RNA (CPAP_LNC008271)". Lineage: Eukaryota; Viridiplantae; Streptophyta; Magnoliopsida; Brassicales; Caricaceae. The record is from RNAcentral.
AAAUCAAAAAGUAUAAUGUCUAUUAAUAGUUCUACUCCUGAAGCUUUUAUUUUACAAUUUUUAUACACAUAAUGAGCUUCUAAUAGACCUCUAGAGGGAGUUUGUACUGCUAAUACUCAUUUAAAGGUUCAUGCCUAAUAUCUAACUUACAAGCAAAAGAACAUGAAAUAAGAAAAUGGGUGUCACCUAUAUCAAUCAAAGCUUGAGCAGAAAUGUCAUGAA